RNAcentral lists this ribosomal RNA (460 nucleotides) under uncultured bacterium. Its description in RNAcentral is "partial 16S ribosomal RNA". It matches the Rfam family "Bacterial small subunit ribosomal RNA", at positions 338 to 795 of the family's 1533-position model. The record is from RNAcentral.
CCUACGGGGGGCAGCAGUGAGGAAUAUUGGUCAAUGGGCGUAAGCCUGAACCAGCCAAGUCGCGUGAGGGAUGAAGGUUCUAUGGAUCGUAAACCUCUUUUAUAAGGGAAUAAAGUGCGGGACGUGUCCCGUUUUGCAUGUACCUUAUGACUAAGGAUCGGCUAACUCCGUGCCAGCAGCCGCGGUACUACGGAGGAUCCGAGAGUUAUCCGGAUUUAUUGGGUUUAAAGGGUGCGUAGGCGGCCUUUUAAGUCAGCGGUGAAAGUUUGGGGCUCAACCCUAGGAUUGCCGUUGAAACUGGUAGGCUUGAGUAUGUUUGAGGCAUGCGGAAUGCGUGGUGUAGCGGUGAAAUGCUUAGAUAUCACGCAGAACCCCGAUUGCGAAGGCAGCAUGCCAAGCCAUGACUGACGCUGAUGCACGAAAGCGUGGGGAUCAAACAGGAUUAGAUACCCCAGUAGUC